UGCAGAGAAAUGUGCAGGGCAGGGGCUCCGGACGGGCUGCAGAGAUGCACUGGCCCCUCUCCUCCAGGGACAAGCCUGGCCACAGGAAAUAAAGGUGUCUUCCAAGGGACACACCGAAGGACAAGCACUUAAGACACAAACACGGGCACAGUCCAGGGGGCAGCUUGGAGCCCGAGCAGCCCUGUUUGUAAUAACCACACAUGGGAAGGGACCCAAAUGCCCCUCAGCUGUAGAACAGAUACACCGACAGCAUUCUCCGGUCGGUGCAGUGGAAUGACAGCGCUGCUACGAAUAGUGCACAGACACACAUAACAUGAUGACUCACGCAUGAUUUUGGGCAACCAGCUACAGAGCGCCUACCCUAUGGCAUGUACUCAGCCAGAUGCAGGGUACUAGAGCCGGCAGCAAGAUCCACUGUCCCUCCUGGAGGAUCCUGUAGCAGAAUGGGAAGCGCCUCUGAGAAAGGAAUGCCUGCUAGGCCCUGCAGCCGGGGAGCCCAGCAUAGGACCUGCUCAUAGUAGGUCCCGCAUCAGUGUUUCUGAAAAGGCAAAUGAAUGCAUGCAUAAAAGCGUAUGCGUAAAGUUUCAUGUGAAUAAAAUUUAAAC
Molecule: long non-coding RNA, 605 nt
Organism: Lontra canadensis (Northern American river otter)
Lineage: Eukaryota; Metazoa; Chordata; Mammalia; Carnivora; Mustelidae
Exons: 3
Source: RefSeq, a predicted model, not a curated record